ACGUAGGGCGCGAGCGUUGUCCGGAAUUAUUGGGCGUAAAGAGCUUGUAGGCGGUUUGUCGCGUCUGCUGUGAAAGGCCGGGGCUUAACCCCGUGUAUUGCAGUGGGUACGGGCAGACUAGAGUGCAGUAGGGGAGACUGGAAUUCCUGGUGUAGCGGUGGAAUGCGCAGAUAUCAGGAGGAACACCGAUGGCGAAGGCAGGUCUCUGGGCUGUAACUGACGCUGAGAAGCGAAAGCAUGGGGAGCGAACAGG
Molecule: ribosomal RNA, 253 nt
Filed under: uncultured bacterium
Lineage: Bacteria
Description: partial 16S ribosomal RNA
Rfam family: Bacterial small subunit ribosomal RNA
Source: RNAcentral